Molecule: ribosomal RNA, 381 nt
Filed under: uncultured bacterium
Lineage: Bacteria
Description: bacterial SSU rRNA
Rfam family: Bacterial small subunit ribosomal RNA
Source: RNAcentral
AUUGAACGCUGGCGGCAUGCCUUACACAUGCAAGUCGAACGGCAGCACGGGAGCAAUCCUGGUGGCGAGUGGCGAACGGGUGAGUAAUAUAUCGGAACGUGCCCGGUCGUGGGGAUAACGUAGCGAAAGCUACGCUAAUACCGCAUACGAUCUACGGAUGAAAGCGGGGGAUCGCAAGACCUCGCGCGAUUGGAGCGGCCGAUAUCAGAUUAGGUAGUUGGUGAGGUAAAGGCUCACCAAGCCGACGAUCUGUAGCUGGUCUGAGAGGACGACCAGCCACACUGGGACUGAGACACGGCCCAGACUCCUACGGAGGCAGCAGUGGGGAAUUUUGGACAAUGGGCGCAAGCCUGAUCCAGCAAUGCCGCGUGCAGGAUGAAG